GUGUCAGCCGCCGCGGUAAUACGUAGGUGGCAAGCGUUGUCCGGAUUUACUGGGCGUAAAGGAUGUGUAGGCGGAUAUUUAAGUGAGAUGUGAAAUCCCAGGGCUUAACUUGGGAGCGGCAUUGGAAACUGGGUGACUUGAGUGCAGAAGAGGAAAGCAGAAUUCCAAGUGUAGCGGUGAAAUGCGUAGAGAUUAGGAAGAAUACCAGUGGCGAAGGCGGCUUUCUGGA
This 229-nucleotide ribosomal RNA is filed under the name uncultured bacterium. RNAcentral describes it as "partial 16S rRNA". It matches the Rfam family "Bacterial small subunit ribosomal RNA", at positions 505 to 733 of the family's 1533-position model. The record is from RNAcentral.